GACGAACGCUGGCGGCGUGCCUAAUACAUGCAAGUAGAACGCUGAAGGAGGAGCUUGCUCUUCUGGAUGAGUUGCGAACGGGUGAGUAACGCAUAGGUAACCUGCCUGGUAGCGGGGGAUAACUAUUGGAAACGAUAGCUAAUACCGCAUAAGAGUAGAUGUUGCAUGACAUUUACUUAAAAGGUGCAAUUGCAUCACUACCAGAUGGACCUGCGUUGUAUUAGCUAGUUGGUGGGGUAACGGCUUACCAAGGCGACGAUACAUAGCCGACCUGAGAGGGUGAUCGGCCACACUGGGACUGAGACACGGCCCAGACUCCUACGGGAGGCAGCAGUAGGGAAUCUUCGGCAAUGGACGGAAGUCUGACCGAGCAACGCCGCGUGAGUGAAGAAGGUUUUCGGAUCGUAAAGCUCUGUUGUAAGAGAAGAACGAGUGUGAGAGUGGAAAGUUCACACUGUGACGGUAUCUUACCAGAAAGGGACGGCUAACUACG
This 493-nucleotide ribosomal RNA is filed under the name uncultured bacterium. RNAcentral describes it as "partial 16S ribosomal RNA". It matches the Rfam family "Bacterial small subunit ribosomal RNA", at positions 28 to 505 of the family's 1533-position model. The record is from RNAcentral.